Molecule: long non-coding RNA, 845 nt
Organism: Gallus gallus (chicken)
Lineage: Eukaryota; Metazoa; Chordata; Aves; Galliformes; Phasianidae
Source: Ensembl
GGAAAGCGCUCACUGCGAGCAGCUGAAAGGACGACACAAACCAAAGCACCACACAUGAAUGUUGCUCACUGGCACAUAGCAGGAAGGCACUGAUGGAGAGCUGCCACCUCUUGGAUCUGGGACACAGGAGCUGCUCAGAGAAAACCCUCUCAGGGCUGCUCAGAUGGGCAGCCCACCUGAACACCCCUGCUACAUUCUGAGGUUCAGCAUUUAACAACCCAAAGAGGAGCGACAAAACCCCAUGUGGCUCUCCGGGGCCAGCACAGGGAGGGGACUGCAGAGAGAUGCCGACUCACAGAGCAGAAGCUUGGAACACACUCCACAGCCAAGUGCUAAGCCUGAGUCAUGCUAGGAUUUGGGCAGUCUGGGUCCUGCCAUGAGCACUCAACACACUAAGUGCUCGAGCUUCCAGGCUGCUCUGGGGCCUUCCCUGGUGGGCACAGCAGCACAAAUCCUUGUUUGAUCCAGGAGGGCACCAGCUCUGCAGCACACACAGUUUUAGGUCAGAUACAAAGCUUGACUGAUUCUAUUGACACUCACCGGAGGCUGGAGCAAAUGCUGCUAAGUCAGAUUAAACACCAGCCUUCUGCCAUUCCUCCCUGCAGCACCACUGCACCAAGGCAGGAGGGAACCCCAGCCAAGCACCCACCUUGGCGGAGCACAGCCACAGAGUGUGCUCAGGGCUCUCAGCCCCGCAGCAGACACGCAGCCCCACAGUCCCCCACCCUUCCCCAGGCACCACACUGCUGUGGAGCUCCUCCAAAGCCCGUGAGCUGCUGGGUGCUUCGCAGGCUCCAGAGUAGGAAAGCACAGCUCUUCUUCAAACAAGCGUUAUGAGGAAGAAA